This 241-nucleotide long non-coding RNA is filed under the name Junco hyemalis (dark-eyed junco). RNAcentral describes it as "lncRNA (ENSJHYG00000010492.1)". Lineage: Eukaryota; Metazoa; Chordata; Aves; Passeriformes; Passerellidae. The record is from RNAcentral.
AUAUCUCAAAAUAUUAUCAAAGGAAAAGUGUUUUCUUAAAGGGCAGCAGUCUCUGUUGCAGAGAUCAUGGUUGUGCUAGCAAAAGAACAGAUCCCUUUGCCCUUCUUCUUGCCUUUGAGAGUGGUUUGCAAUUCUUUCCCCCACUAAGCAGAUCAGAAAAAUCAUGGGAACAGACCAGGUCAUUUUACAUCCUGCAUUACCCACAGGUCAUAUCAGAAAUCCUAGCGGAAGUUUUGUCUUU